UACGUAGGGGGCAAGCGUUGUCCGGAAUCAUUGGGCGUAAAGCGCGUGUAGGCGGUCCGAUAAGUCGAUUGUGAAAGUCCAGGGCUCAACCCUGGGAUGCCGACCGAUACUGUCGGACUAGAGUUCGGAAGAGGCGAGUGGAAUUCCCGGUGUAGCGGUGAAAUGCGCAGAUAUCGGGAAGAACACCUAUGGCGAAGGCAGCACUCUGGGACGGUACUGACGCUGAGACGCGAAAGCGUGGGGAGCGAACAGG
RNAcentral lists this ribosomal RNA (253 nucleotides) under uncultured bacterium. Its description in RNAcentral is "partial 16S ribosomal RNA". It matches the Rfam family "Bacterial small subunit ribosomal RNA", at positions 524 to 776 of the family's 1533-position model. The record is from RNAcentral.